This 501-nucleotide ribosomal RNA is filed under the name uncultured bacterium. Its description in RNAcentral is "partial 16S ribosomal RNA". It matches the Rfam family "Bacterial small subunit ribosomal RNA", at positions 899 to 1397 of the family's 1533-position model. The record is from RNAcentral.
ACUCAAAUGAAUUGACGGGGACCCGCACAAGCGGUGGAGCAUGUGGAUUAAUUCGAUACUAACCGAAGAACCUUACCCAGACUUGACAUCGAUCGCAAAGUCCAGAAAUGGGCUCCUCUCCCACAAGGAGACGUGAAGACACUUGUUGCAUGGCUGUCGUCAGCUCGUGCCGUGAGGUGUACGGUUAAGUCCGCCAACGAGCGCAACCCUCGUCCUGUGUUACCAGCAUGAAAGAUGGGGACUCACAGGAGACCGCCGGUGUAAAUCGGAGGAAGGUGGGGAUGACGUCAAGUCAGCAUGGCAGUUACGUCUGGGGCUUCACACAUGCUACAAUGGGCGAAACAGAGGGCAGCAACACCGCGAGGUAGAGCCAAUCCCAAAAAUACGCCCCCAGUUCAGAUUGCAGUCUGCAACUCGACUGCAUGAAGGCGGAAUCGCUAGUAAACGCAGGUCAGCUAUACUGCGUUGAAUACGUUCCCGGGUCUUGUACACACCGCCCGU